GUGCUCGCUUCAGCAGCACAUAUACUAACAUUGAAACAAUACAGAGAUUAGCAUGGGCCCUGCACAAGGAUGACAUGCAAAUUCGUGAAGUGUUCCAUAUUUUU
This is a small nuclear RNA of Myotis daubentonii (Daubenton's bat), 104 nucleotides long. The record is from RefSeq and is a predicted model, not a curated record. Lineage: Eukaryota; Metazoa; Chordata; Mammalia; Chiroptera; Vespertilionidae.